GACCAAGUGGCGCAGUCGGUAACAGGGAUGGCUAUGACCCAGAAGGCCACGGGUUCGACCCCCCGCUAGAGUCA
Non-coding RNA from Caenorhabditis elegans, 74 nucleotides. Lineage: Eukaryota; Metazoa; Nematoda; Chromadorea; Rhabditida; Rhabditidae. The record is from the annotation of a RefSeq genome assembly.